ACUCAAAGGAAUAGACGGGGGCCCGCACAAGCAGUGGAGCAUGUGGUUUAAUUCGAAGCUACGCGAAGAACCUUACCAGGUCUUGACAUCUGUAUAAUCCCCCAGAGAUGGGGGAGUGCCCUUUGGGAAAUACAAGACAGGUGGUGCAUGGUUGUCGUCAGCUCGUGUCGUGAGAUGUUGGGUUAAGUCCCGCAACGAGCGCAACCCUUGAUGUCGGUUGCCAGCAGGUAGAGCUGGGCACUCCGGCGUGACUGCCGUAGAGAAUACGGAGGAAGGCGGGGAUGAUGUCAAAUCAUCAUGCCCUAUAUGACCUGGGCUACACACGUGCUACAAUGGGGUGAACAACGGGAGGCGAGCCUGCGAAGGUAAGCGGAUCCCUAAAAACACCUCUCAGUUCGGAUUGCAGGCUGAAACUCGCCUGCAUGAAGUCGGAAUUGCUAGUAAUCGCGGAUCAGCAUGCCGCGGUGAAUACGUUCCCGGGCCUUGUACACACCGCCCGU
RNAcentral lists this ribosomal RNA (500 nucleotides) under uncultured bacterium. Its description in RNAcentral is "bacterial SSU rRNA". It matches the Rfam family "Bacterial small subunit ribosomal RNA", at positions 899 to 1397 of the family's 1533-position model. The record is from RNAcentral.